AUGUAGCUCAGUGGUAGAGCACUUGCCUGGCAAGCAUGAGGCCCUGGGUUCGACGCCCAGCUU
Molecule: transfer RNA, 63 nt
Filed under: Fukomys damarensis (Damara mole-rat)
Lineage: Eukaryota; Metazoa; Chordata; Mammalia; Rodentia; Bathyergidae
Rfam family: tRNA
About the family: Transfer RNA (tRNA) molecules are approximately 80 nucleotides in length.
Source: Rfam by way of RNAcentral